RNAcentral lists this transfer RNA (82 nucleotides) under Anisakis simplex (herring worm). It matches the Rfam family "tRNA". From Rfam's summary of the family: Transfer RNA (tRNA) molecules are approximately 80 nucleotides in length. Their secondary structure includes four short double-helical elements and three loops (D, anti-codon, and T loops). The record is from Rfam by way of RNAcentral. Lineage: Eukaryota; Metazoa; Nematoda; Chromadorea; Rhabditida; Anisakidae.
GAUCAGGUGACCGAGUGGUUAAGGCGAUGGACUGCUAACCUAUUGGGGUUUCCCCGCGUGAGUUCGAAUCUCAUCCUGAUCG